UACGAAGGGGGCUAGCGUUGUUCGGAAUUACUGGGCGUAAAGGGCGCGCAGGCGGCUCUUCAAGUCAGGCGUGAAAGCCCCGGGCUCAACCUGGGAACUGCGCUUGAGACUGGAGAGCUAGAGUUCGGGAGAGGAGAGUGGAAUUCCCAGUGUAGAGGUGAAAUUCGUAGAUAUUGGGAAGAACACCAGUGGCGAAGGCGGCUCUCUGGACCGAUACUGACGCUGAGGCGCGAAAGCGUGGGGAGCAAACAGG
Molecule: ribosomal RNA, 253 nt
Filed under: uncultured bacterium
Lineage: Bacteria
Description: partial 16S ribosomal RNA
Rfam family: Bacterial small subunit ribosomal RNA
Source: RNAcentral